Long non-coding RNA from Poecilia reticulata (guppy), 1038 nucleotides. RefSeq lists it as uncharacterized. Lineage: Eukaryota; Metazoa; Chordata; Actinopteri; Cyprinodontiformes; Poeciliidae. The record is from RefSeq and is a predicted model, not a curated record.
GUGUUAAAAAAAUUCAGCAUAUAAAAAAAUUCAACUUUUAAAAAUUCAAAUGCAAUAUUUUCAGUGUCCUAAAAAUUCAACUUGCUCAAAUUCGCUGUCUCAAAUUCAACAUCUAAAAAUUCGCUGUACAAAAAUGGCGAGGUUACUUCAGGUCACAGACAUUAGCAAUCGUUGUCAGAUUUCAACACUGAGCUAAUCACAUGACCUAAGCGUCAUAUUGAAGAAAUACCAGCAUCACCGAGGCCAGCGACCACGGAGGCGAACGCAAACCCAACGGAACAUAUGGAUCAUAUUUUUGAUAGACUCCAUGAUCGUUUGGAGCCAUUUCUAUUUCUACAAUUACAGAUGGUCCAAUCAGUUGGCCACAGGUGAAGAAGCAAAGUGAUGACGGUGACGACAACGAUGAUGUCUUGGAAGCAGAAACUGCAGGUGACAGGGUUUCUCCAUCAGUUUCUCAAAGAAGCAUUUUCAGACAAUCUGCACCAGCUCAUGAGAUUUUGGGUUGGCUGGGAGGCUCCAUGGCAGGAACUGAAGCCUGAAGUAGUGCAGUCAACUGGACCAAACCACAUCAGGGCCACUUCAUCCACCUGCAGUGAACGUUUACGCCUUCCAAGCCAUUAUUCUACCUACCAGGCUCUGUAUGCUGACAUGAUGGUGUCUUAAAUCGGUUGGAACUGGCUUUGGUCUUCUUUGAGAACUCAGUGCAUUGGUGUUUCAUUUGUUCAAUAAUUGCAUUUCAAUAUGGCAAUUAAGUAAAAUUACAAAGUCAUUUUAUUAUUAGCUUCUUUUUUUUUACAAAUACUGUUCAUCAUUCACCGCAGUCUUGACAUUAAGUUGUGUUCUUUGAAGUGAUGACUAAGUACCUGAAACGUUUGUCAAGCAUCCCUGUAAAUCUUAAAUGUUAGAGUAACUAUGUUCAGAGUUUCUGAGUCAGCACUGUUUGUACAGGAAAUAUGAAACGGAAACUGUUUUUAUGCAAUAUUUUAUUGAAUAUUCAUCUAUGCUUGAAGUAUUAGAAAAUAAAUGACAUAAGACAAA